Transfer RNA from Colletotrichum salicis, 110 nucleotides. It matches the Rfam family "tRNA". From Rfam's summary of the family: Transfer RNA (tRNA) molecules are approximately 80 nucleotides in length. Their secondary structure includes four short double-helical elements and three loops (D, anti-codon, and T loops). Further hydrogen bonds mediate the characteristic L-shaped molecular structure. tRNAs have two regions of fundamental functional importance: the anti-codon, which is responsible for specific mRNA codon recognition, and the 3' end, to which the tRNAs corresponding amino acid is attached (by aminoacyl-tRNA synthetases). tRNAs cope with the degeneracy of the genetic code in two manners: having more than one tRNA (with a specific anti-codon) for a particular amino acid; and 'wobble' base-pairing, i.e. permitting non-standard base-pairing at the 3rd anti-codon position. The record is from Rfam. NCBI's taxonomy places the organism in Eukaryota, Fungi, Ascomycota, Sordariomycetes, Glomerellales, Glomerellaceae.
GUCUCUAUGGCUCAGUCGGUAGAGCGUUGGUCUCAUAUCAAAUACAUAUGACUCUGGGAAACAUCCUGGGGGUUAUCCAAAGGUCGCAAGUUCGAGCCUUGCUAGGGACA